CUGCUGCCUUCCGUAGGAGUCUGGCCGUGUCUCAGUUCCAGUGUGGCUGGUCAUCCUCUCAGACCAGCUAGGGAUCGUCGCCUAGGUGAGCCGUUACCCCACCUACUAGCUAAUCCCAUCUGGGCACAUCCGAUGGCAAGAGGCCCGAAGGUCCCCCUCUUUGGUCUUGCGACGUUAUGCGGUAUUAGCUACCGUUUCCAGUAGUUAUCCCCCUCCAUCAGGCAGUUUCCCAGACAUUACUCACCCGUCCGCCA
RNAcentral lists this ribosomal RNA (254 nucleotides) under uncultured bacterium. RNAcentral's name for it is "partial 16S ribosomal RNA". The record is from RNAcentral.